Molecule: ribosomal RNA, 371 nt
Filed under: uncultured bacterium
Lineage: Bacteria
Description: bacterial SSU rRNA
Rfam family: Bacterial small subunit ribosomal RNA
Source: RNAcentral
GUAGGGAGCAAGCGUUGUUCGGAUUUACUGGGCGUAAAGGGCGCGUAGGCGGCGCGGUAAGUCACUUGUGAAAUCUCUGAGCUUAACUCAGAACGGCCAAGUGAUACUGCAGUGCUAGAGUGCAGAAGGGGCAAUCGGAAUUCUUGGUGUAGCGGUGAAAUGCGUAGAUAUCAAGAGGAACACCUGAGGUGAAGACGGGUUGCUGGGCUGACACUGACGCUGAGGCGCGAAAGCCAGGGGAGCAAACGGGAUUAGAUACCCCGGUAGUCCUGGCCCUAAACGAUGAAUACUUGGUGUCUGGGGUUUCAAGACUCCGGGUGCCGUCGCUAACGUUUUUAGUAUUCCGCCUGGGGAGUACGCUCGCAAGAGUG